UGAUAUUAUGGUUUUAAAAGGGAGGCCAGGUUAUCACAGAUCUGAUCAUCAAUAUUUUUAUUAGAUGUGACACAAGCCGUUAGCAUAGUAGAGUUAAUAUUUUAUCAUUGUUAUAUAUAUCUUUUACAUGCGUUAUGCUAGUGUACUUACAGUCACUGACCCACACCUCCAACCUCUUUUAUAUGUCUGACUAAUCAAGCUUUUUACAGCUAAUGCUAGUAAUUUUACAUAUGUGCCGUUAUCAUCCAACAACAUUGUUCCCUGAACAGAUAAUGACUAACAGUGGUGCUGCAAAAUUCAUUUUUUUUGUAAACAUUCCCCAUGAUCAGUAAUUGAGCAUCAUGGGAAUUGUAGUCCAUAAACAUCUGUAUUACCAAGAUCAGCCAUUACUGGAUAAUCUAUAUCUUAAUGGAAACUGGGAUUAUAGAGUAAAAGGAAAUAUUUCCUGCAGAUCACCUCCAUUCCCAAUAACUGG
Pelobates cultripes (western spadefoot toad) is the source of this 475-nucleotide non-coding RNA. Lineage: Eukaryota; Metazoa; Chordata; Amphibia; Anura; Pelobatidae. The record is from the annotation of a GenBank genome assembly.